This 551-nucleotide ribosomal RNA is filed under the name uncultured Diversispora. Its description in RNAcentral is "SSU rRNA". It matches the Rfam family "Eukaryotic small subunit ribosomal RNA", at positions 548 to 1098 of the family's 1831-position model. The record is from RNAcentral. Lineage: Eukaryota; Fungi; Glomeromycota; Glomeromycetes; Diversisporales; Diversisporaceae.
UUGGAGGGCAAGUCUGGUGCCAGCAGCCGCGGUAAUUCCAGCUCCAAUAGCGUAUAUUAAAGUUGUUGCAGUUAAAAAGCUCGUAGUUGAACUUCGGGGUCUACCCAUUGGUCAGGCUUAAUUGUCUGCACUGGUGAGAUGGAUCUCUACCUUCUGAGGAACUUUCAUGCCAUUUAUUUGGUGUAGUGGGAAAUCAGGACUGUUACUUUGAAAAAAUUAGAGUGUUUAAAGCAGACUAUCGUCUGAAUACAUUAGCAUGGAAUAAUGAAAUAGGACGGACUGAUUCUAUUUCGUUGGUUUCUAGGAUCACCGUAAUGAUUAAUAGGGAUAGUUGGGGGCAUUAGUAUUCAAUUGUCAGAGGUGAAAUUCUUGGAUUUAUUGAAGACUAACUACUGCGAAAGCAUUUGCCAAGGAUGUUUUCAUUAAUCAAGAACGAAAGUUAGGGGAUCGAAGACGAUCAGAUACCGUCGUAGUCUUAACCAUAAACUAUGCCGACUAGGGAUCGGAUGAUGUUAAUUUUUUAAUGACUCAUUCGGCGCCUUACGGGAAAC